UGGCACUGGGAAGGACAAUCAGAGUCUCUGGGUCCACACAGGACACAAUAAUAUACAGUGGACAAACAUCUAGCUUGGCAUGGGAGGCUUUCUGUGCUCGACAAAAAUGGCGCAUCCCAAACAAGAGCACUGCUUUCACAAAUCCUGUACCAAAUGGUGUGUAACAGAGACAAAGCAACUGGAUGGACCCUCCGCCCGGCCCACGUUAAUGCUGAGGUCUAUAUGGGAAAGGCGCUGUAUAAAUAAAAUGUAUUAUUAUUAUUA
Long non-coding RNA from Polypterus senegalus (gray bichir), 264 nucleotides. RefSeq lists it as uncharacterized. The record is from RefSeq and is a predicted model, not a curated record. The transcript has 2 exons. NCBI's taxonomy places the organism in Eukaryota, Metazoa, Chordata, Cladistia, Polypteriformes, Polypteridae.